CCUACGGGUGGCUGCAGUGGGGAAUAUUGGACAAUGGGGGGAACCCUGAUCCAGCCAUGCCGCGUGUGUGAAGAAGGCCCUCGGGUUGUAAAGCACUUUCAGUGAGGAAGAACGCCUGGUGGUUAAUACCCAUCAGGAAAGACAUCACUCACAGAAGAAGCACCGGCUAACUCCGUGCCAGCAGCCGCGGUAAUACGGAGGGUGCGAGCGUUAAUCGGAAUUACUGGGCGUAAAGCGCGCGUAGGUGGCUUGAUAAGCCGGUUGUGAAAGCCCCGGGCUCAACCUGGGAACGGCAUCCGGAACUGUCAAGCUAGAGUGCAGGAGAGGAAGGUAGAAUUCCCGGUGUAGCGGUGAAAUGCGUAGAGAUCGGGAGGAAUACCAGUGGCGAAGGCGGCCUUCUGGACUGACACUAACACUGAGGUGCGAAAGCGUGGGUAGCAAACAGGAUUAGAUACCCCUGUAGUC
This 465-nucleotide ribosomal RNA is filed under the name Vreelandella stevensii. RNAcentral describes it as "partial 16S ribosomal RNA". It matches the Rfam family "Bacterial small subunit ribosomal RNA", at positions 338 to 795 of the family's 1533-position model. The record is from RNAcentral. Lineage: Bacteria; Pseudomonadati; Pseudomonadota; Gammaproteobacteria; Oceanospirillales; Halomonadaceae.